Molecule: unclassified non-coding RNA, 1459 nt
Filed under: Hevea brasiliensis (rubber tree)
Lineage: Eukaryota; Viridiplantae; Streptophyta; Magnoliopsida; Malpighiales; Euphorbiaceae
Source: RNAcentral
GGCCUGUGUUAUGUAUCCAAAAUGAUCUUCCUCCUUGAGCAUACACAGCCUGCAUCUCACCAAAUCACAAGUAAAUAUGCAUUCUUCUUAUUUAAUGGAGGUCUAAUAGCUGAUGGAUUACAUUAUCCUGCAAGAGCUAAUCCUCUUAAUUGGUGAAGACUUGAACGACCUUUUCACUCUCUACAUCUUAAAAGCAUAGAAAGACCAAUCAAAUUACUCCUUAUUGACUUAGUGCAGUUUCUUUUGUGCACAACAACGCUUGCAAAGUCAAAUUGACUCUUCUAAUAGAAAGAGACUCAGAAUUUAACUCUUGAUUUUUUUAAUUAUAAAAUAGAAAGCUGGAUUACUAAACUAUUAUUAACCUAAUAACCACAGAUGGGUAAUAUGUUCAUAACCAGAAGGGAUUUACCUUAACAGCAUUGGAGAAUUGGGCAAGCAUAUCAGGGACAGAAGCUUUUACUUGUUCAAUGGUCAAAUUAAGCUUGUAACCAGCAGUGAGGUCGUUCUGACCAAUAUCAAAGGUGUACAAAGCACUUGAGAAGUAAUCUGCCUUGGGCAACAAUGUCUCAAAAACAACCCCUGUAAUAGUAGAUUAUUCCACAAACCCACAUGAACAUGAUCAAAUCUACAUUCAUCUUCUCCAAAGUUAUUGAAGAACAAUGCAAGAAAAUUGAAGAAGAGAGAUGAAAUUAAUGGACCUUGAUUACGGUACUCGUGGGAUCUUUUGUGGAAGCCUGAGAAUUGAACCAAUUGUACAUCUAAUGAAAUUGGACUAUACCCACUUUGAUGCAUGGUGGUGUUUUGAGGUCUGAUGGUUGAUCCAGCCGUGGCAAAAUUGGCUCCAUGGCUAAAGUUUGAACCUACUGAGUUCAAAUAGGCACUCAGAUAUGGCAAUCCCAAGCUCUCCGCUAAGAAAUCAAUGAUGAGACGGCCGUCGGAGUAGCGACCAGCAGGGUGGUGGAAGAAAGUCUGCCCAUUGGGAGCAGGGGCUUGUCCAAAUGCUGCGGAGAGCCCACCUGUGUCAGAAUUUGAAUCCCCAAAGUUGAAUAUGGCAGGAAACUCACAUGAAGAUUCUAAGACUGAUGCCAUUGAUACCAAGAAGACCAAGCCCAACACAACAUGUCUCAACCACCCAGACUCCAUUGAGAUCAGAAAGAGAAGAAAGAUCGAGAUUUUUUCUGAGGAGAGAGAAUGAGAAAUUGAAUUGGGAAUUGAUGAGCCCUGAGAUCUGGUUUGGGAAUGGCCUUUGCUUUAUCUGUCUUGGCCUGGGUUUCUGUUUCUUCUCUGUUUCUUUUGGCAACGGUCAAGUCCAAUUAAUUUAAGCUAUUUUUGGAUAUAUGUGGCUGGAGUUUGCUACUAUUUUGGUGCGUUCCAUAACUAUUUUACACAAUGCAGGUAGUCUUGAAAUUUCAUCAACUAAUUUUUACAAUGUGAUCGCAUUUGGCUAUAUCCAGAUUUG